UGAGUGGCGGACGGGUGAGUAACGCGUGGGCAACCUGGCUUGUACAGGGGGAUAACACUUAGAAAUAGGUGCUAAUACCGCAUAACGGGGGAAGCCGCAUGGCUUUUCCCUGAAAACUCCGGUGGUACAGGAUGGGCCCGCGUCUGAUUAGCCAGUUGGCAGGGUAACGGCCUACCAAAGCGACGAUCAGUAGCCGGCCUGAGAGGGCGGACGGCCACACUGGGACUGAGACACGGCCCAGACUCCUACGGGAGGCAGCAG
RNAcentral lists this ribosomal RNA (261 nucleotides) under uncultured bacterium. Its description in RNAcentral is "partial 16S ribosomal RNA". It matches the Rfam family "Bacterial small subunit ribosomal RNA", at positions 92 to 354 of the family's 1533-position model. The record is from RNAcentral.